GGGGGCUAUAAUCGGAUGUUUACGGUAUUUGACUGGUCAGUUGUAAGAAUCUGUACAUGUAAUAUGAGUCGCGAUUAAAAUGAACCAGUCGCAAAAUGAAGUGUAGAAAGUUUCGUGCAUAAAAGAGCGAAUGAAUGAUGCUUUAUAAGUGUGAUAUAACAGACGAUUUGAUUGGCUAAUGCGCGUGCAUUGUGACGCAAUAAUGCACUGUGAUCUGUGGCACUGCCUUGCUCUUUCCCUGUUUUUCCCCCUCUUCAUCACUGGUUUUUAGCCAAAAAUAUAAAAACUAUAGAGCUUUUAAAAUACAAGAUUUACCAGAAAGCAAGAAGGAAUAGAUCAAAGGAACAAAGCAAUUUUCUAUAGUUCUACGUGUAAAAUUAACCAGCUUGGCAUUCGUCGAAUUUUACCCAAAACUUGUCUCGAUAAGUUUUGGGUAAAAGCGUACAAAAUAGUCCAGAAAACAUUUUGAAAAAGAUACAGGAAGACCAAAUACAUACAAAAUGGCAACAAGAACUGAAACUAAGUGAUCUAGAAAGUACCUUCAAUUCUUCUGAUAAUAAUUGCUAGAUAUAUUUUCGGUGAAAGACAAAAAAUACAAUUUUCGAAAAUUAUAAAAACUGAGUAUAAACCACAGGCAUCCCAAGCUCACCUGUCGUUGUUGGGGUAUAUUUGUAUUUUUAUAUUAGUUUACUAUUACAGAAUAUAUAUUGUCAAAAAAUGCUAAAAUAUUGUGUUAAAUUAAGAAAUAAGAUUGAUUAUCACUACUACAAUGUGUAAUUGACUUUUCUGGGUUGAUUUGAGGUGAUUCAAUCUGCUUGAGAUACGAAUACUUAAUAAGGAUAAAAAAUAGCAACAUGAGCUCCACCUUUGAAUUUACUACAGUAUACGAGUAAAUUCUUAAACACGUCAGAAUUUAUCAAUAUAAUAAAUUCGCGGCACAUUUUGAAUUUAUCAAUAGAGUUAAUAGUAAAAGCACAAGCAUUAGACAAGACUUUUUGUUAUAAAUGUAAUGUCAAUAAAAGGGAGGCCGGGCCGCGCCGGGGUAGGUAGAUUUUCAAGAUUUUUAAAAAAGUUUUAAAAAAGUUUUAAAAAAGCAAAAAAAAAGAUUAAAAAGUUAGAUUUUCAAAAAAUUUUAAAAAGUUAGAUUAGGGUUAGUGGUUAGGAGUUAGGGUUUGGGGUUAGUGUUAAGGUGGUCUUAUACCUUCAUUUUUGGAAAAAUUCAUUUUUUCAAAAUAGCUAAAUUUUAUUUUCGUUAGCUAAAUUUUAUAAACGUUAUUUUCCUUCUAUGAGUUGUGGAAGGUGGUUAAAUAUCAAGCAAAAGGAACCCGUUCCUUUAAUUGCCACUUAGCAACUGCUUUAACAACGCUUUUGUUGUCCUGAAAUUCACACAAAUGGUUUAAGUCCACCAAAUGUUUUGAAUAAUUUUUCUAACCCACUCCCCCCUCAGUAGAUUUGUAUUUAGGAGUUUUUGACAUAUAUUACAUGAAGUAUACGCUCUUGAAAUGCAAGGGUAGUGGGCAUUAACUAUUUCGCUGACCUCAGAAUGACAUUUCGUCAAAACUUUUUUCUUCAAGAUUGGUUUAGAAACAAAUUUGGAGUAUGGUUAGGUUAGGUUAGGGUAAG
Molecule: long non-coding RNA, 1623 nt
Filed under: Paramuricea clavata
Lineage: Eukaryota; Metazoa; Cnidaria; Anthozoa; Malacalcyonacea; Plexauridae
Source: RNAcentral